RNAcentral lists this ribosomal RNA (778 nucleotides) under uncultured Neocallimastigales. RNAcentral's name for it is "partial large subunit ribosomal RNA". It matches the Rfam family "Eukaryotic large subunit ribosomal RNA", at positions 24 to 647 of the family's 3401-position model. Lineage: Eukaryota; Fungi; Neocallimastigomycota; Neocallimastigomycetes; Neocallimastigales. The record is from RNAcentral.
GUAGUCUCGCACAGAUGCAUAUCAAUAAGCGGAGGAAAAGAAACUAACAAGGAUUCCCCUAGUAACGGCGAGUGAAGCGGGAAGAGCUCAAAUUUGAAAUCUUAAAGGGUUUCCCUUUACGAAUUGUAGUUUAAAGAAGUGUUUUCUGUUGAGGUUUUGGUAAAAGUUCUUUGGAAUAGGACAUCAUAGAGGGUGAGAAUCCCGUAUUUGACCUUUACUUUCAACUUUGUGAUACACUUUCAAAGAGUCGGAUUGUUUGGGAAUGCAGUCCAAAAUGGGUGGUAAAUUUCAUCUAAAGCUAAAUAUUGGCGAGAGACCGAUAGCGAACAAGUACCGUGAGGGAAAGAUGAAAAGAACUUUGAAAAGAGAGUUAAACAGUACGUGAAAAUUGUCAAAAGGGAAGCAGUUUGACACCAGUGUUGUUUCUCUGAAAAUCAAUUAAAGAACUGUUUAUGCUAAGCUGUUUAGACUUUAUCAGCUAAUCUGUUUAGUUUUGAGCUUUUCUUUAAUGCACUUUUCAGUUAACAAGUCAACAUCAAUUUCUUUUGCUGUAAAAAAGCUUGAGGAAGGUGGCUUGAGAUUCGUCUUAAGUGUUUAUAGCCUCUUGCCUAUGCAGUCGGAGAGAUUGAGGUCUGCAGCGUAGAUCCUUCGGGGCUAAAUGCAUUUGUGCUAAGUUAUAAGCAUUUUAUAGACAACUUGUUGACUAUGAUUUGUCUUGUAGCUUACUCGCUUAUGUUAUUUUACCUACGCUUAGGAUGUUGACAGCAGUAUAGACUGU